Phodopus roborovskii (desert hamster) is the source of this 214-nucleotide long non-coding RNA. RefSeq lists it as uncharacterized. The record is from RefSeq and is a predicted model, not a curated record. The transcript is spliced from 3 exons. Lineage: Eukaryota; Metazoa; Chordata; Mammalia; Rodentia; Cricetidae.
UUUUUGGCAAUACCCAUCCUUGUUGAGAGAACUUCCUGCCCAGGGACCAGCCUAGAAGUUAACUAAUUACAGGAGCAUCUGCAGCCUAUUUGAAAGCGGAACUCCAGAAACCAUUUUCUAGCUGUAAUCCUUUUGUCCAUCUGAACUCUAUUACAGGCCAACAGGAGGACCAUUAAUCAGUUCCACUAGAUCCACUGUUAUCAAGAACUCAUUU